This 221-nucleotide transfer-messenger RNA is filed under the name unidentified. Its description in RNAcentral is "transfer-messenger RNA Bacte_fragi_9343". It matches the Rfam family "transfer-messenger RNA", at positions 145 to 374 of the family's 374-position model. Rfam says of the family: Bacterial tmRNA, also known as 10Sa RNA or SsrA, is named for its dual tRNA and mRNA-like properties. Its role is to liberate the mRNA from a stalled ribosome. To accomplish this part of the tmRNA is used as a reading frame that ends in a translation stop signal. The record is from RNAcentral.
UCACUCGGAAGCUGUUGCUCCGAAGCAUUCCGGUUCAGUGGUGCAGUUACAUCGGGGAUAGUCAGAAGUGGCCUUGCGCUUCUGAUGAAACUUUAAAGGAUAAGGCAGGAAUUGAUGGCUUUGGUUCUGCUCCUGCACGAAAAACUUAGGCAAAGAUAAGCAUGUAGAAAGCUUAUGAUUUCCUCGUUUGGACGAGGGUUCGAAUCCCUCCAGCUCCACCA